This 440-nucleotide ribosomal RNA is filed under the name uncultured Gammaproteobacteria bacterium. Its description in RNAcentral is "partial 16S ribosomal RNA". It matches the Rfam family "Bacterial small subunit ribosomal RNA", at positions 371 to 799 of the family's 1533-position model. Lineage: Bacteria; Pseudomonadati; Pseudomonadota; Gammaproteobacteria. The record is from RNAcentral.
AUGGGCGCAAAGCCUGAUGCAGCAAUGCCGCGUGUGUGAAGAAGGCUGCGGGUUGUAAAGCACUUUCAGUAGGGAGGAAACAGCAUCGGUUUAAUAAACCGGUGUCUUGACGUUACCUACAGAUAGAAGCACCGGUCUAACUCUGUGCCAGCAGCCGCGUUAAUACAGAGGGUGCAGAGCGUUAAUCGGAAUUAUUGGGCUUAAAGCGCGCKUAGGCGGUUUGGUAAGUCGGAUGUGAAAGCCCUGGGCUUAACYUGGGAAUUGCAUUCGAUAUUGCCUGAUUAGAKUGUGGUAGAGGGAAGCGGAAUUCCGGGUGUAGCGKUGAAAUGCGUAGAGAUCCGGAGGAACAUCAKUGGCRAAGGCGGCUUCUUGGACUAACAYUGACGYUGAGGUGCGAAAGCGUGGGGAGMAAACAGGAUUAGAUACCUUGKUAGUCCACG